GUUCACAAGUUUUUAAACAGAAACCGGGAUGGCCUUGACCCUGCCGUGGUGGAAAUGCUCGCCCAGAGCCGGCUCCAGCUGGUGGGCAGCCUGUUCCAGGAAGCAGAGCCUGAGUCCAGGGGAGGUCGAGGCAAACCCACACUGGCCUCUCGCUUCCAGCGUUCCCUGGGGGACCUCAUAGCCCAGCUUGGCAGGUGAGAAUAGUGCCCCCCCGACCCCUGACCCCAGGGAGAUUGAGUGGGGGGCCAGUCUGUGCUCAGUGACCUUCCUCCACCCCCCAGGAGCCAUGUCUAUGCCAUCCAGUGUCUCAGCCCCAACCCGGGGAAGCUUCCGGGCCUCUUUGAUGUGGGGCACGUGGCAGAGCAGCUGCGCCAGGCGGGCAUCCUGGAGGCUGUGUGUACCCGCAGCGCCAAUUUCCCCAUCCGUGUGCCCUUCCGGCUCUUCCUGGCCAGGUUCUGCUGCGAGAGCCAGGCUGGCAGCAGCUGGAGCAGCACCGGGCCGAGCAGCGCACCCAGGCCCUGCUCACCCUGCACCGAGGCCUCCGUGUCUGCAUCUCCUGCCAGCGCCUCCGUCUCUUGCCACGGAUGCAGGCUCGCGUGCGUGGGCUCCAAACCAGGUCUGCAGGGUGGGGUGAGGCUGUAAGCCUCCUCCAA
Molecule: long non-coding RNA, 653 nt
Filed under: Sus scrofa (pig)
Lineage: Eukaryota; Metazoa; Chordata; Mammalia; Artiodactyla; Suidae
Description: lncRNA (ENSSSCG00070021084.1)
Source: RNAcentral